This 372-nucleotide ribosomal RNA is filed under the name uncultured organism. RNAcentral's name for it is "bacterial SSU rRNA". It matches the Rfam family "Bacterial small subunit ribosomal RNA", at positions 526 to 896 of the family's 1533-position model. The record is from RNAcentral.
CGUAGGGCGCAAGCGUUGUCCGGAAUUAUUGGGCGUAAAGAGCUCGUAGGCGGUCUGUCGCGUCUGCCGUGAAAACCCGAGGCUUAACCUCGGGCCUGCGGUGGAUACGGGCAGACUAGAGGUAGGUAGGGGAGAAUGGAAUUCCCGGUGUAGCGGUGAAAUGCGCAGAUAUCGGGAGGAACACCGGUGGCGAAGGCGGUUCUCUGGGCCUUACCUGACGCUGAGGAGCGAAAGCGUGGGGGGCGAACAGGAUUAGAUACCCUGGUAGUCCACGCCGUAAACGUUGGGCGCUAGGUGUGGGGUCCUUCCACGGAUUCCGUGCCGUAGCUAACGCACUAAGCGCCCCGCCUGGGGAGUACGGCCGCAAGGCUA